Molecule: non-coding RNA, 101 nt
Organism: Mycena latifolia
Lineage: Eukaryota; Fungi; Basidiomycota; Agaricomycetes; Agaricales; Mycenaceae
Source: the annotation of a GenBank genome assembly
GGACUAGUGGCAGAGCGGUUACUGCACCUGGGUCACCUGACAUAGAAUAGAUCACAGGAAGCUCCCCCCGGGGCACCCUUGUUCGAAUCAAGGCUAGUCCA